GAAAGAGUACUGCAAGAACUGCUAAUUCAUGCUCCCCACACCUAACAGUGUGGCUUUUUCG
RNAcentral lists this transfer RNA (61 nucleotides) under Phocoena dioptrica (spectacled porpoise). RNAcentral describes it as "tRNA-Ser". Lineage: Eukaryota; Metazoa; Chordata; Mammalia; Artiodactyla; Phocoenidae. The record is from RNAcentral.